GAUGAACGCUGGCUACAGGCUUAACACAUGCAAGUCGAGGGGAAACGACGGGGAAGCUUGCUUCCCCGGGCGUCGACCGGCGCACGGGUGAGUAACGCGUAUCCAACCUGCCUCUGACUGAGGGAUAACCCGUCGAAAGUCGGCCUAAUACCUCAUGGCAUCGUCUGCGGGCAUCCAACGACGAUUAAAGAUUUCAUCGGUCAGGGAUGGGGAUGCGUCUGAUUAGCUUGUUGGCGGGGUAACGGCCCACCAAGGCUACGAUCAGUAGGGGUUCUGAGAGGAAGGUCCCCCACAUUGGAACUGGGACACGGUCCAAACUCCUACGGGAGGCAGCAGUGAGGAAUAUUGGUCAAUGGGCGGGAGCCUGAACCAGCCAAGUAGCGUGCAGGAUGACGGCCCUAUGGGUGGUAAACUGCUUUUAUGCGGGGAUAAAGUGAGGGACGUGUCCUUCAUUGCAGGUACCGCAUGAAUAAGGACCGGCUAAUUCCGUG
This 491-nucleotide ribosomal RNA is filed under the name uncultured bacterium. RNAcentral's name for it is "partial 16S ribosomal RNA". It matches the Rfam family "Bacterial small subunit ribosomal RNA", at positions 28 to 507 of the family's 1533-position model. The record is from RNAcentral.